AAAAUUUUGAAAUGUUCAAAUUUUCUGGCACGCAUAAAUUUCACGCCACUUGCGUGAAGUAGUCGUGAACAUUGUGCAACCUAUUCACAAACACUGUGUGCCACUGUGCGCAGGAGAACAAUUUUACACAUUUUGC
Long non-coding RNA from Thalassophryne amazonica, 136 nucleotides. RefSeq lists it as uncharacterized. The transcript is spliced from 3 exons. The record is from RefSeq and is a predicted model, not a curated record. NCBI's taxonomy places the organism in Eukaryota, Metazoa, Chordata, Actinopteri, Batrachoidiformes, Batrachoididae.